RNAcentral lists this ribosomal RNA (654 nucleotides) under Tyrophagus longior. RNAcentral describes it as "12S ribosomal RNA". Lineage: Eukaryota; Metazoa; Arthropoda; Arachnida; Sarcoptiformes; Acaridae. The record is from RNAcentral.
UAUUCGGUGAAAGUUUAUAUUUUAUUUAAAAUUUUACCUUAUAGGGGAUAAAUUAUUUUUCUAAUAGUUAGUAUUAUACAAAAUAUGCUAUAGAGAUUAAGGACAAAGUUUGUGCCAGCCAUCGCGGUUAUACUCUAUUUAAUUAAUCUUAUUAUUUCUAAAGAUUUUUACAGGUCUUUUUGUUUUAACGUGAAAUUUUCAAAUCUUUUUAAUUUUUAUAAGAUUAGUAAUUAUAGUAAAAACUAGGAUUAGAAACCCUAUUAUUCUAAGUUUGGUUUAAAGCGUUAAAUUAUUAUCUUUAAACUUAAUUGUUCUGGCGGUUCACCACUCUAACAGAGGAGUUUGUCAAUUAUGUUUGAUAACCCGCCUUUAGUUUCACCAUUGUUUAUUUUAUGUACGGCUGUUAAGCUUUAACAUAUAGCUUAUUGCUUUAUCCUUUAAUGUUUUAGUUCAGGUCAAUGUGUAGACUAUGUUGUGGUUUUAAUGAGUUACUUUUUUGACUAAAAUUAGUUUUAUUUGAAAUUGGAUUUGUUAGUAAAUCAUGAAUAGAACUUCUUCUUGAUGUAGAUUUUUGGUGUAAGUACAUAUCGCCCAGGUCUCUUUUGAUAGAUAAGUCGUAACAUAGUAAGAUAUACAGGAAGGUGUUUCUUGUUU